Molecule: ribosomal RNA, 468 nt
Filed under: uncultured bacterium
Lineage: Bacteria
Description: partial 16S ribosomal RNA
Rfam family: Bacterial small subunit ribosomal RNA
Source: RNAcentral
GACGAACGCUGGCGGCGUGCUUAACACAUGCAAGUCGAACGGAAAGGCCCUGCUUUUGUGGGGUGCUCGAGUGGCGAACGGGUGAGUAACACGUGAGUAACCUGCCCUUGACUUUGGGGUAACUUCAGGAAAAUGGGGCUAAUACCGGAUAGGAGCUCCUGCUGCAUGGUGGGGGGUGGAAAGUUUCGGCGGUUGGGGAUGGACUCGCGGCUUAUCAGCUUGUUGGUGGGGUAGUGGCUUACCAAGGCUUUGACGGGUAGCCGGCCUGAGAGGGUGACCGGCCACAUUGGGACUGAGAUACGGCCCAGACUCCUACGGGAGGCAGCAGUGGGGAAUAUUGCACAAUGGGCGGAAGCCUGAUGCAGCAACGCCGCGUGCGGGAUGACGGCCUUCGGGUUGUAAACCGCUUUCGCCUGUGACGAAGCGUGAGUGACGGUAAUGGGUAAAGAAGCACCGGCUAACUACGUG